GGAGUUGUGGCUCAGUGGUAGAGUGCUUGCCUAGCACUCAUGAGGCACGGGGUUCAAUUCCCAGCAUCACAU
RNAcentral lists this transfer RNA (72 nucleotides) under Urocitellus parryii (Arctic ground squirrel). RNAcentral describes it as "Spermophilus parryii (Arctic ground squirrel) tRNA". It matches the Rfam family "tRNA". From Rfam's summary of the family: Transfer RNA (tRNA) molecules are approximately 80 nucleotides in length. Their secondary structure includes four short double-helical elements and three loops (D, anti-codon, and T loops). Lineage: Eukaryota; Metazoa; Chordata; Mammalia; Rodentia; Sciuridae. RNAcentral also lists the same sequence under 2 other names. The record is from Rfam by way of RNAcentral.